GAUGAACGCUGGCGGCGUGCUUAACACAUGCAAGUCGAACGGAAAGGCUCCUGCUUGCAGGGGUACUCGAGUGGCGAACGGGUGAGUAACACGUGGGUGAUCUGCCCUGCACUUCGGGAUAAGCCUGGGAAACUGGGUCUAAUACCGGAUAGGACCACAUUUUGGAUGGUGUGGUGGAAAGUUUUUCGGUGUGGGAUGAGCUCGCGGCCUAUCAGCUUGUUGGUGGGGUAAUGGCCUACCAAGGCGUCGACGGGUAGCCGGCCUGAGAGGGUGUACGGCCACAAUGGGACUGCGAGACGGCCCAGACUCCUACGGGAGGCAGCAGUGGGGAAUAUUGCACAAUGGGGGCAAGCCUGAUGCAGCGACGUCGCGUGGGGGAUGACGGCCUUCGGGUUGUAAACUCCUUUCGCUAGGGACGAAGCGCAAGUGACGGUACCUGGAGAAGAAGCACCGGCUAACUACGUG
This 465-nucleotide ribosomal RNA is filed under the name uncultured bacterium. RNAcentral describes it as "partial 16S ribosomal RNA". It matches the Rfam family "Bacterial small subunit ribosomal RNA", at positions 28 to 507 of the family's 1533-position model. The record is from RNAcentral.